AAUGGGUCAGCGACUUAUAUUCUGUAGCAAGGUUAACCGAAUAGGGGAGCCGAAGGGAAACCGAGUCUUAACUGGGCGUUAAGUUGCAGGGUAUAGACCCGAAACCCGGUGAUCUAGCCAUGGGCAGGUUGAAGGUUGGGUAACACUAACUGGAGGACCGAACCGACUAAUGUUGAAAAAUUAGCGGAUGACUUGUGGCUGGGGGUGAAAGGCCAAUCAAACCGGGAGAUAGCUGGUUCUCCCCGAAAGCUAUUUAGGUAGCGCCUCGUGAAUUCAUCUCCGGGGGUAGAGCACUGUUUCGGCAAGGGGGUCAUCCCGACUUACCAACCCGAUGCAAACUGCGAAUACCGGAGAAUGUUAUCACGGGAGACACACGGCGGGUGCUAACGUCCGUCGUGAAGAGGGAAACAACCCAGACCGCCAGCUAAGGUCCCAAAGUCAUGGUUAAGUGGGAAACGAUGUGGGAAGGCCCAGACAGCCAGGAUGUUGGCUUAGAAGCAGCCAUCAUUUAAAGAAAGCGUAAUAGCUCACUGGUCGAGUCGGCCUGCGCGGAAGAUGUAACGGGGCUAAACCAUGCACCGAAGCUGCGGCAGCGACACUGUGUGUUGUUGGGUAGGGGAGCGUUCUGUAAGCCUGUGAAGGUGUGCUGUGAGGCAUGCUGGAGGUAUCAGAAGUGCGAAUGCUGACAUAAGUAACGAUAAAGCGGGUGAAAAGCCCGCUCGCCGGAAGACCAAGGGUUCCUGUCCAACGUUAAUCGGGGCAGGGUGAGUCGACCCCUAAGGCGAGGCCGAAAGGCGUAGUCGAUGGGAAACAGGUUAAUAUUCCUGUACUUGGUGUUACUGCGAAGGGGGGACGGAGAAGGCUAUGUUGGCCGGGCGACGGUUGUCCCGGUUUAAGCGUGUAGGCUGGUUUUCCAGGCAAAUCCGGAAAAUCAAGGCUGAGGCGUGAUGACGAGGCACUACGGUGCUGAAGCAACAAAUGCCCUGCUUCCAGGAAAAGCCUCUAAGCAUCAGGUAACAUCAAAUCGUACCCCAAACCGACACAGGUGGUCAGGUAGAGAAUACCAAGGCGCUUGAGAGAACUCGGGUGAAGGAACUAGGCAAAAUGGUGCCGUAACUUCGGGAGAAGGCACGCUGAUAUGUAGGUGAAGUCCCUCGCGGAUGGAGCUGAAAUCAGUCGAAGAUACCAGCUGGCUGCAACUGUUUAUUAAAAACACAGCACUGUGCAAACACGAAAGUGGACGUAUACGGUGUGACGCCUGCCCGGUGCCGGAAGGUUAAUUGAUGGGGUCAGCGCAAGCGAAGCUCUUGAUCGAAGCCCCGGUAAACGGCGGCCGUAACUAUAACGGUCCUAAGGUAGCGAAAUUCCUUGUCGGGUAAGUUCCGACCUGCACGAAUGGCGUAAUGAUGGCCAGGCUGUCUCCACCCGAGACUCAGUGAAAUUGAACUCGCUGUGAAGAUGCAGUGUACCCGCGGCAAGACGGAAAGACCCCGUGAACCUUUACUAUAGCUUGACACUGAACAUUGAGCCUUGAUGUGUAGGAUAGGUGGGAGGCUUUGAAGUGUGGACGCCAGUCUGCAUGGAGCCGACCUUGAAAUACCACCCUUUAAUGUUUGAUGUUCUAACGUGGACCCGUGAUCCGGGUUGCGGACAGUGUCUGGUGGGUAGUUUGACUGGGGCGGUCUCCUCCUAAAGAGUAACGGAGGAGCACGAAGGUUGGCUAAUCCUGGUCGGACAUCAGGAGGUUAGUGCAAUGGCAUAAGCCAGCUUGACUGCGAGCGUGACGGCGCGAGCAGGUGCGAAAGCAGGUCAUAGUGAUCCGGUGGUUCUGAAUGGAAGGGCCAUCGCUCAACGGAUAAAAGGUACUCCGGGGAUAACAGGCUGAUACCGCCCAAGAGUUCAUAUCGACGGCGGUGUUUGGCACCUCGAUGUCGGCUCAUCACAUCCUGGGGCUGAAGUAGGUCCCAAGGGUAUGGCUGUUCGCCAUUUAAAGUGGUACGCGAGCUGGGUUUAGAACGUCGUGAGACAGUUCGGUCCCUAUCUGCCGUGGGCGCUGGAGAACUGAGGGGGGCUGCUCCUAGUACGAGAGGACCGGAGUGGACGCAUCACUGGUGUUCGGG
RNAcentral lists this ribosomal RNA (2120 nucleotides) under Escherichia coli. Its description in RNAcentral is "partial 23S ribosomal RNA". It matches the Rfam family "Bacterial large subunit ribosomal RNA", at positions 614 to 2720 of the family's 2925-position model. Lineage: Bacteria; Pseudomonadati; Pseudomonadota; Gammaproteobacteria; Enterobacterales; Enterobacteriaceae. The record is from RNAcentral.